RNAcentral lists this long non-coding RNA (307 nucleotides) under Mytilus galloprovincialis (Mediterranean mussel). Lineage: Eukaryota; Metazoa; Mollusca; Bivalvia; Mytilida; Mytilidae. The record is from RNAcentral.
CUUUAGCGCAUGAUACGCCCGUUGCUCUUUUAACUUGUCUUUUAAGCUUUAAAUGAAUUUAUAUGAUCAACUAGAAAUAUAUAUACAAAUCAAAAGGGAUGUUACAUUAAUAUAUUCACCAAAGUUUCAUAAAAUCCCCCUUUUUUAAGAAUAAAAAUUCAUUACUUUAGAAAACGUAAAAUCUAAAAUUUAUAAAAAUGGAAAGGGAGCUUAUGUCAAUAGAUAUAAACAAUGUAUCAAAGUUGCAUAAAAUUUUGUGAAAGUGUUAGUUAUUGUCCCAAAAUUGGAAAAUCCCCCUUUUUUAAGC